GCCAGGUACUGUGGCACAUGCCUGUAAUCCCAGCCGCUUGGGAGGCUGAGGCAGGAGGAUCAUGAGUUCAGAGCCAGCCUCAGCAAUGGCGAGGUGCCAAGCAACUCAGUGAGACCCUGUCUCUA
This 125-nucleotide small RNA is filed under the name Marmota monax (woodchuck). The record is from RNAcentral. Lineage: Eukaryota; Metazoa; Chordata; Mammalia; Rodentia; Sciuridae.